This 588-nucleotide ribosomal RNA is filed under the name Triticum aestivum (bread wheat). RNAcentral describes it as "partial small subunit ribosomal RNA". The record is from RNAcentral. Lineage: Eukaryota; Viridiplantae; Streptophyta; Magnoliopsida; Poales; Poaceae.
AUGGCAAGUUCCAGCUCGCAAGGACGGCGAGGGAAGGAAACCGCAGAUGAGUUGUUGGCUCGACUUAACUUACAGGAGGAGGAGGAUGAUGACUUUGUUUGGGAAGAAGAGCUGCCGGACUUGGGAGAGCCGGCGAAGUGGCUAGCUAUAGCACGGGUGCAUACACUGAAAUCUUUCAGCCCUAAUGCUCUGUACGGGGACAUGCGUGUAGCGUGGAAUCCCGCGAGGACUGUGGUUUGGAGGAAUAUCAAAGAUAAUCUGUUCAUAGUCCAAUUUGGUUGUCUUGGUGAUUGGAACAAAGCAAUGUUGGAGGGACCCUGGUUGUUCAGAGACCACGCUGUAAUCUUAAAGGAGUAUGAUGGUUUUAAGAAGCCUGAGAGUGUCGUCCUAGACAAGCUGUCGGUCUGGGCUCAGAUACAUCUAUUGCCGGAUAACUUUCUGAUAGAACGGGCAGUCAGGGGAUUGGCUUCUCGCAUCGGGGAAGUGGAGGAAGUCCAGUUGAAACUCCCGGCGGGCUUCUUUGGGGAGUUCGUCCGGGUCAGAGUGAAAAUUGACAUCAAUGCCAAGAUUAAACAUUUUGUUACAUGA